Molecule: long non-coding RNA, 286 nt
Organism: Talpa occidentalis (Iberian mole)
Lineage: Eukaryota; Metazoa; Chordata; Mammalia; Eulipotyphla; Talpidae
Exons: 3
Source: RefSeq, a predicted model, not a curated record
GAGACACACUCAGCUGCCCCGCGGGGCGAGGAAUCAGUAUAAAGUGGAAUUCCGGCGUGUGUCGGCCGGGAGAAACCCUAACUCAGAUCUCGGUCACCUCAACCGCGCAGCGUCCCUUCCCGGCCGGCGAGACGCAGAUGCGCACAACUCCCUGAUCCAGUGCGCGCGCAGCCAGCGUGAGGCCUGGAGCCAAUGAGGGAUGGAUGGCAUGGUGAUGAGAUUUUGCAUCUCAUGUGGGAAUGCUAAGACUUAGCAAUGAGCAGACAAGUGAUUUUCCUAAGAUGAC